RNAcentral lists this long non-coding RNA (287 nucleotides) under Elaeis guineensis (African oil palm). Its description in RNAcentral is "long non-coding RNA (EGUI_LNC043193)". The record is from RNAcentral. Lineage: Eukaryota; Viridiplantae; Streptophyta; Magnoliopsida; Arecales; Arecaceae.
AGUAGUGUCAUAUUAGAUGAUUGUCAUUAUUGUCCUUUUUUUUUAUGAAUGUCAUCUCUGUAGGCCUUUUGGACAAACUUGAUUUUAAGUUUAUAAUAAAAGAUAAUUUUUUUGAUAUCAUUAUGAAUAAUACUGUAAUUAUGCGAGGAUAAUUAAGACAUGGCAUAUACAUAAUAUCAUGGUCUGUUGGUAUAAUGUAUACAUCCAAUAAACACCAUAAAAUAGAUAAUGUCAGUGAAUCCUACCUCUGGCAUUGUAGGCUUGAUCAUAUGAAUAAGAAUAGGAUU